RNAcentral lists this ribosomal RNA (162 nucleotides) under uncultured bacterium. RNAcentral's name for it is "partial 16S ribosomal RNA". It matches the Rfam family "Bacterial small subunit ribosomal RNA", at positions 187 to 354 of the family's 1533-position model. The record is from RNAcentral.
GCUCCCCGUGUGUAAGAAACGUCGGUGUAUGGAUGGACCCGCGUCUGAUUAGCCAGUUGGCAGGGUAACGGCCUACCAAAGCGACGAUCAGUAGCCGGCCUGAGAGGGUGGACGGCCACAUUGGGACUGAGACACGGCCCAAACUCCUACGGGAGGCAGCAG